RNAcentral lists this ribosomal RNA (400 nucleotides) under uncultured bacterium. RNAcentral's name for it is "bacterial SSU rRNA". It matches the Rfam family "Bacterial small subunit ribosomal RNA", at positions 359 to 776 of the family's 1533-position model. The record is from RNAcentral.
GAAUCUUGGACAAUGGGCGCAAGCCUGAUCCAGCCAUGCCGCGUGAGUGAUGACGGCCUUAGGGUUGUAAAGCUCUUUCACCGGUGAAGAUAAUGACGGUAACCGGAGAAGAAGCCCCGGCUAACUUCGUGCCAGCAGCCGCGGUAAUACGAAGGGGGCUAGCGUUGUUCGGAAUAACUGGGCGUAAAGCGCACGUAGGCGGAUUGUUAAGUCAGAGGUGAAAUCCCGGGGCUCAACCCCGGAACUGCCUUUGAUACUGGCAAUCUCGAGUCCGAGAGAGGUGAGUGGAAUUCCGAGUGUAGAGGUGAAAUUCGUAGAUAUUCGGAGGAACACCAGUGGCGAAGGCGGCUCACUGGCUCGGUACUGACGCUGAGGUGCGAAAGCGUGGGGAGCAAACAGG